Long non-coding RNA from Hyla sarda, 1489 nucleotides. RefSeq lists it as uncharacterized. The record is from RefSeq and is a predicted model, not a curated record. NCBI's taxonomy places the organism in Eukaryota, Metazoa, Chordata, Amphibia, Anura, Hylidae. The transcript is spliced from 3 exons.
GCACCAAAGAAGACAAGACAUUUCAAGGAUCAGAGGGAGGAUGAUCAGGAGCAGCCGAAUACAACCAACAAACCAAGAAGAUUGGUUCUCAGCAAAACACCUAGGACAGGAUAAGGACAACAUUCAGCAAAGAGAAGUUGAAAGGGGUCAUCCAGGAUGAGAAAAUCAGAGCUAAUUUCUUCUAAAAACUGCCCCACCUCUGUCCUAAUGUUGUGUGUGAUAUCGCCGCUCAGUUCUUAGAAAGUGAAUGUGAGAAAACUUGUAAUACUACACACAACAUGAGGACAGGUUUGGCGCUGUUUUCGGAAACAAAUAGCUCUGUUUUCGAUUCCCUUUAACAAACUCCUAGGAUCCAGCAACAUUCAUCUGAUGGACGGCACAGGCACCAAAGAAGACAAGAAAUGUCAUGGAUCAGAGGGAGGAUGAUCAGGAGCAGCCGAAUACAACAACAAACCAAGAAGAUUGGUUCUCAGCAAAACACCUAGGACAGGAUAAGGACAACAUUCAGCAAAGAGAAGUUGAAAGGGGUCAUCCAGGAUGAGAAAAUCAGAGCCGAUUUCUUCUAAAAACUGCCCCACCUCUGUCCUAAUGUUGUGUGUGAUUUUCGGAAACAAAUAGCUCUGUUGUCUAUUCCCUUUAACAAGGGCUGGACUGGCCUAGCGGGAUACCGGGAAAAUUGCCGCUAGGCCGCGUGCCCUCUGGGCCGGCAGUGUCUGGAGGACAGGCUGCCUGAGUCCCGACAAAUCACUGUAUCAGUCUGUCAGGACCUGUGUGCUCGGCAGCUGCAGCAUUACACACAGAUCCUGAGACGCCUGACAGCUGAUACCGUGAGGGGAGGUCCGGAGGACAGAGUCUGUACUGGGAGCUGUACAGAGAAGACACUCACCUCGGCCUCUACUCUCUGCCUUCUCACUGCUCCUGGUCCCUCCUCCUGUCGGCACAGUGACUGCAGCUGCUAGGGGGAAGAUCUACUAUGCAGGUAAGAACAUACCCCAUAUGUGGAUGUAAAGUGCUCUGCGGGCAAACUACAAUGCUCAGAAGAGGAGGAGUGCCAUUGGGCUUUUAGAGAGAAAAUUUGUCUGGAAUUAAAAGCAACUGAAGGACAAAUGAAUUAAAGGAUGGCAGCAUAUGGCAACUUUACUGUUUGCAUUUUUAAAACCAAAAAAGGAGUGUAUCAUUGUUAAAAAGGCUGUUUUUGGAGAUGGACAGGCAGGCUGAAGGGGAGGAGGUAGGCCUGUAUUUUGUACUUAAAAACUCAAAUGGGUUUUUGGGUUCAAAAUGUGUAAUUUUCUUCUAUGUUGCUACCCUUUUAUAAUCCAUACUCAAACAAGCACACUGGGAAAUUUUGGAAGAUGUCCCGCUCUGCCAAUCUCUGGAAGAUACUCGGAAGGCCAGGUAUUGUAGAAGAAUUUUUAUUUAAGCAUACAAUGCGUUUCAAAGCCGAACUGGCUUUUUCAUCAGGCAUGCACAAUAAGCUAAAAAGCCUGUA